This 465-nucleotide ribosomal RNA is filed under the name uncultured bacterium. RNAcentral's name for it is "partial 16S ribosomal RNA". It matches the Rfam family "Bacterial small subunit ribosomal RNA", at positions 338 to 794 of the family's 1533-position model. The record is from RNAcentral.
CCUACGGGCGGCAGCAGUGGGGAAUAUUGCGCAAUGGGGGAAACCCUGACGCAGCAACGCCGCGUGGGUGAUGAAGGCCUUCGGGUCGUAAAACCCUGUCAGACAGGAAGAAAGCCAAAUAAGUGAAUAGCUUAUUUGGUUGACGGUACUGUCAGAGGAAGCCCCGGCUAACUCCGUGCCAGCAGCCGCGGUAAUACGGAGGGGGCUAGCGUUGUUCGGAUUUAUUGGGCGUAAAGAGCACGUAGGUGGUUGGGUAAGUCAGACGUAAAAUCCCCGGGCGCAACCAGGAAAGGGCAUCUGAAACUGCUUGACUUGAGUGCGGUAGAGGAGAGUGGAAUUCCCGGUGGAGGGGUGAAAUGCGUAGAUAUCGGGAAGAACACCGUGGGCGAAGGCGGCUCUCUGGACCGCAACUGACACUGAGGUGCGAAAGCUAGGGGAGCAAACGGGAUUAGAUCCCCUGGUAGU